Acanthosepion pharaonis is the source of this 112-nucleotide non-coding RNA. NCBI's taxonomy places the organism in Eukaryota, Metazoa, Mollusca, Cephalopoda, Sepiida, Sepiidae. The record is from the annotation of a GenBank genome assembly.
UAUGGCCAUAUCACGCUGAAACACCGGUUCACUUACGAUCACCAAAGUUAAACAACGUUGAGCCUAGUCAGUACUGAGAUGGGUAACCGCAUGGGAAUACCCGAUGUUGUAA